CUGCAACAUUACAUUUACACGAUCAUGAAUCCUACCGACCGUGGUCCUUGCCGGUUAGGCUAACUACUUCUGGUAAAACCCGCUGCAUGGUGUGACGGGCGGUGUGGCGCAGGCCGGAGACGUAUUCACCACGACAUGCUGAUCCGCGAUUCAUAACCAGAAAUUCGGAAGCUUCACGCAGUCAGGUUUACCAGACUGCGAUCCGGUUGAUCGGGUUUCUCAGGAUUGGCUCCCCCUGCAGGUUGUGACCCUCAUCCGGUAUUGUAUGGCAAUGUGAGAAGCCCUGCACCGCAGGAGCCGCCGAAACGACGUCAUCCACCUUCCUCCGGUUUAUGCUGUUGAUCUCGUCAGAGUGCCCUAAAACGCUAUUCAUGUUUUUAAAGGAGUUGCGCUCGUUGCGGACUCCAGCAACAUCUCGGCGAGAGCUGGCUAACCAUAUGCAACACCUGUGUUCGGUUCUUCUUGCGCAGCACCCCAAAUCUCUUGGGAUUUGAACACUUUCUCAAAAGUGGUAAAGUUUUCGCGUUGCAUCGAUUAAUCCACAUCAUCACCCUUGUGCGAAGUCCCCGUCAAUUGUUUGAGUUUUAAUCUUGCGACCGUACUCCCCAGGCGGUUAAACUAACACAAUUAGCUGCGCUACAAGAGCGAAAGGCUAGCAAUAGUUGAUCGUUUGAAGGCGUGGACUACCAGAUAUCCUAAUCCUGUUUGCUCCCACGCUUUCGUGCGCCGAGCGUCGUGUGUGCCCAGCAUCCGGAAGCUGCAACUUCGCUGCAUCCGGUGUUCUCAUAUCCGCGUUUCCUGCUACCCACGCCGGAAUUCCACCUCCCUCUGACACACUCUAGCUCAGUUAAAAAUGCGGUUCCAAGUUAGCUCUGCGGUUUCACCAUCUUUCUUUCCGAACCGCCUGCGCACGCUUUACGCCCAGUAUUCCCGUUAACGCUUGCACCCUACGUAUUACCGCGGCUGCUACAGCACGACAAUUGUGGUGCUUAUUCUGCAGGUAUAGCGUCAGUUGCACGGUAUUAUCCGUGCCGUUUCUUUCCUGCCAAGAAGUGCUUUUACAACUUGAGGCCUUCAUCGCACACGCAGGAUGGCUGGAUGAGGUUCCCCAUUGUCCCAAAAAUUCCCCCUGCUGCUCCGUAGGAGUCACGGGCCGUGUCUCAGUCCCAGUGGCGCGAUCGUCCUCUCAAACCAGCUACGGAUCGUCAUUGGUGAGCCGUUACCCCACCAACUAGCUAAUCCGAUAAUAAUGCUCUAAUAAUUAAGAGGCCCCGAAGGUCCCCGCUGCGAAGGCGUAUGCGUUAACCCGCUUUCGCUAGUUAUCCCGCUACUAGGCGUUCCGAUACAUUACUACCCGUUCGCCACUCGCUGAAUGAAGUCCGUGCUGCCGUUCGACACAUGUAUAAAGCAUCCCGCCAGCGUUCAAUCUGAGCCAUGAUCCAAACU
This 1446-nucleotide ribosomal RNA is filed under the name uncultured Bordetella sp. RNAcentral describes it as "partial 16S-23S ribosomal RNA intergenic spacer". Lineage: Bacteria; Pseudomonadati; Pseudomonadota; Betaproteobacteria; Burkholderiales; Alcaligenaceae. The record is from RNAcentral.